This 465-nucleotide ribosomal RNA is filed under the name uncultured Enterobacter sp. RNAcentral's name for it is "bacterial SSU rRNA". It matches the Rfam family "Bacterial small subunit ribosomal RNA", at positions 338 to 795 of the family's 1533-position model. The record is from RNAcentral. Lineage: Bacteria; Pseudomonadati; Pseudomonadota; Gammaproteobacteria; Enterobacterales; Enterobacteriaceae.
CCUACGGGGGGCAGCAGUGGGGAAUAUUGCACAAUGGGCGCAAGCCUGAUGCAGCCAUGCCGCGUGUAUGAAGAAGGCCUUCGGGUUGUAAAGUACUUUCAGCGGGGAGGAAGGCGAUAAGGUUAAUAACCUUGUCGAUUGACGUUACCCGCAGAAGAAGCACCGGCUAACUCCGUGCCAGCAGCCGCGGUAAUACGGAGGGUGCAAGCGUUAAUCGGAAUUACUGGGCGUAAAGCGCACGCAGGCGGUCUGUCAAGUCGGAUGUGAAAUCCCCGGGCUCAACCUGGGAACUGCAUUCGAAACUGGCAGGCUGGAGUCUUGUAGAGGGGGGUAGAAUUCCAGGUGUAGCGGUGAAAUGCGUAGAGAUCUGGAGGAAUACCGGUGGCGAAGGCGGCCCCCUGGACAAAGACUGACGCUCAGGUGCGAAAGCGUGGGGAGCAAACAGGAUUAGAUACCCUAGUAGUC